Molecule: ribosomal RNA, 303 nt
Filed under: uncultured bacterium
Lineage: Bacteria
Description: partial 16S ribosomal RNA
Rfam family: Bacterial small subunit ribosomal RNA
Source: RNAcentral
AGCAGUCGCCGCGGUAAAACGUAGGGUGCGAGCGUUAAUCGGAAUUACUGGGCGUAAAGCGGGCGCAGACGGUUACUUAAGCAGGAUGUGAAAUCCCCGGGCUCAACCUGGGAACUGCGUUCUGAACUGGGUGACUAGAGUGUGUCAGAGGGAGGUAGAAUUCCACGUGUAGCAGUGAAAUGCGUAGAGAUGUGGAGGAAUACCGAUGGCGAAGGCAGCCUCCUGGGAUAACACUGACGUUCAUGCCCGAAAGCGUGGGUAGCAAACAGGAUUAGAUACCCGUGUAGUCCCUGUCUCUUAUAA